GAGUAGCUCAGUUGGAUAGAGCGUCGGUUUCCUAAACCGCAGGUCGCAGGUUCAAUUCCUGUCUC
RNAcentral lists this transfer RNA (65 nucleotides) under human gut metagenome. It matches the Rfam family "tRNA", at positions 5 to 66 of the family's 71-position model. Rfam says of the family: Transfer RNA (tRNA) molecules are approximately 80 nucleotides in length. Their secondary structure includes four short double-helical elements and three loops (D, anti-codon, and T loops). The record is from RNAcentral.